UGGCGGCAUGCCUAACACAUGCAAGUCGAGCGCUCCCAGCAAUGGGGGAGCGGCGGACGGGUGAGUAACGCGUAGGAACGUAUCCUGAGGUGGGGGAUAACCCUGGGAAACUAGGGCUAAUACCGCAUGAUGGCGAGAGCCCAAAGAUUUAUCGCCUUGGGAGCGGCCUGCGUCUGAUUAGCUUGUUGGUGGGGUAACGGCCUACCAAGGCGAUGAUCAGUAGCUGGUCUGAGAGGAUGAUCAGCCACACUGGGACUGAGACACGGCCCAGACUCCUACGGGAGGCAGCAGUGGGGAAUAUUGGACAAUGGGCGAAAGCCUGAUCCAGCAAUGCCGCGUGGAUGAAGAAGGUCUUCGGAUUGUGAAGUCC
RNAcentral lists this ribosomal RNA (370 nucleotides) under uncultured bacterium. Its description in RNAcentral is "bacterial SSU rRNA". It matches the Rfam family "Bacterial small subunit ribosomal RNA", at positions 37 to 433 of the family's 1533-position model. The record is from RNAcentral.